AACAAGACCCGACCCGCAUUUCCUCAAUAAAGUAACUCCUUUCAACGCCGCCUUCAUAAUAAACGAACUCCUCCGCAAGCUUCUCCAACCUCCUAUCCUCUUCCCCCGCCUUCCACUCCUCCAAUCUCUUCCCGCAUUUUGCACGAAUCAUCCCCUUCCACUCAUAUACCGACACGCUUCAGAAUACUCGUUUUCUUUUGAACCGCUUUUGUUGCAUCCCCACGGGGGAGUGACCCGAACUCAUCGAGCAGACGGAGAGGUACAUGGACGGUGGAUUCAGAGAUCGUGGUGAUUGACUUGUCGCACCCACCCCGCCUGCCCUGUGAAGGUUCUUCAGUAAUCGACCACCAGAAAUACGCCCUUAGAAACUCCACAAAACGGAUCGGUUUCGGUAUCUCUUUUUCAUGUCUUUGAAGCUAAAACCCAUUUUUUUGGUCAUGUAUUAAUCAGAAUUUAAUUUCAAUAGUUUUAAAUUAUUUGAAAUACUGUGUGAAUCGAGAUGGAAAUGAUGGCAAUAUAAAGUAAAAGGUCUGAGCAGAGUGAGACAACGGUGGUAGUAAUGGAUGCCAAAGUCUGGGGGUGAGAAAAAAGGAGAGGGCCUCUGUCCUUGCUCUGAGAUAUUGCAUUGCGACAGCGCAACCUCUCCUACAACAAAUUUACUGCUCUCAAAGCAUGAGUGCUGCGAUGGGUUGAAAGAAAAGGCGUGGGCUGCAUUCUAGCAUUGAAUGCUAACCUAGACUUCUCCCGACAUUUUAAUAUUUGCAUCCCCUUACUUUGCCUAUCCGUUGGCUGCCACCGCGCUUCCUGCAUUGAUCAAAACCUUGAUGCUGAUCCAUACAUUAUCAUUCUCUGUUAAUUAUCUCUUUUCAAUUGUUUUUUUUUCCUGUUAAUUCUUUUAUGCUUUGCAUGUAUGAGCACUCGAUUUAUUAAAAAAAUAAUCCAAAUGGACGAGUGUUCUUUUUGGUGGUGGUUGUUGAGUGGUUUCAGGUGUUCCACUCAUGCUUUCAGUCAUGAUGUGUGUGCAAUUUAAAAAAUAACUGAAUGUUGUGGAAACUGCAGCUUCAGGAGAAAUCAACAUGCAGGGGUAGAAAAGAAUGCUUGGAGAGAGAAAUGUUUUGCAGGCACAAGAGAUUGGCGAAAAAUGGCCCUUUUUUUGUGGUGCAUUGUUGAGCAAUUCACUUGGAUAUAAUUAAAAGUAUGGAAAAAUGGUGAAUUUUGAUGGAUGUGGGUGAAUGUGGUUGGAUGCGAGGUGGGGAAAAUGGGGCUGCAGUUUUUUCAGAGGAUGGUGUCUAUCCAUUAAUGACCCAUGCUACAUGACAGCUUCUUUGAAUACCACAUUAGUGUUCAUGCUUGCUGUGUUUGCUAAAUUCUUUGUCUGGGUUAUAUACUUGGUUCAUUUUGCUGUUUUAGCCCUUUAAGAUCAUUUUUUUUUCUUUUUUUCAACAAUCAUUUUUCAAUUUUUUUAUAUUGAUUUUUGGUGAUUUUGAACCCAUUCACAGUUCUGUUUUGCAUUCUUCCUUGCAUAUUAGCAAAUGCAAAUUCACCACGUUGUCUGAGAGGAAGGCCAAUACGAUGAUUUAUUUGGAAACUGAGGCUCUACUUAGUGGGGGGUUCUGGUGCAUUGUUUUGAACUUGUGACCAGAGUCACGGUGUCACAGGCCAUUGUUGGCAUUAUGUUUAUCAAAAAGCAAUUUAACUUAGCGCACGCAUAAAAUAGGACAUUUUUACAAUACUUCUAUUGAAAUUCUAAUCAAUUGAAAAUUUUCAGUAGAAUGCUUGCAACAACCUCGAUGGCAAUCAUGAUGGUCGUAUUGACUGUAAUUCAGUUGUUACAGUUACACAAUGGCUGCUUGUGCUUGGAGCUUGAUUAUAAAAUCAUGAACCUAUAACUCCAGAUAAUAGAAUCUGACCUUUCGUUUCCAUUACCUAAUGGCUGUUGUUUGAUUCCAUUGUUUUUUUAUCUGCUUUCUCAUGAGGUUGUGCUUGCUGGAUGUUUCUUCAGGGAUUGCUUUUCUUGCGGGUAGUUUCUUUGAGCACCUGGUGUAUUCUGUUAUUUUGCAGAUGUAAUUGUUUAAAAAUGGUUUUGCUGAAGUAUUUGAACCAACAACAGAGUUGUGUGAGAGUUUUUACAUCCCAAUUUUGGUUCCCCAAUCCAUGUGUAAUUUUUUGGCAAUGGAGAAGAAACAUUACUGUUGCUUCUGCAUUUGUACUAUCAUCAUCAUCAACAUCGGUUUGAUCAUGAUUGUUUGUGUUUGCUAUGUCGUGUAUCAAUCUGGCAAGCCCUUUUGCCACAAAUCCCUUGAGCCAAUGAAUACUUUGAUUUUUUGGGUUCAGGUGAGCCUAGCGAAGUUGAUUGAAUUUUUUAUGUGUAUAUGAUUAUGCUAUCAUGUUAUUGUAGGGGGGCACGCAGCAGAGAUGAUCAAUGUAUUGACUGUGCUGCAAAAGGAUAUGUUUUUGCCUAGAAUCUAUGUUGCAGCAGCCACGGAUAAUAUGAGUUUGCAAAAAGCUCGGGUUUUGGAGGACAAUAUGGUUGACAGGGUAGGCCAUUUGUGGUUUAACUUCGUACUGUGUUUGCUUUUGUAGGGUUCAAUUGUUUGAUAUAAUGAUCUAGUUGCUGGUUUGCAUUUUGGAAUUUAUGGCUGACUGAAUUGUUGGCUGUUAGUGUUUGUGAAUAGUUUUAGUUUGAAUUUUGAUAAAACAAUGUAAUUGCAAAGGUGAUAGAAAUAACUAGUCCGCACUUGAAAGUUAUGCUGGCUUAAUGAUGAAUCAUUUUGGAUCCCUGAGUGGCAUGAACUCUUAUUCAUGAACCAAAGUUGAAAAAUUGGAGUAGCUAUCCAAGGAUUACCUCACUUAUGAGUGCUGUCAGCCUACUUGCUAGAUUGAGGAUGGGAAAAAAAUGUAAACAGCUUUUCUUUGAAAUAAUUCCUGGUUUCAUGAAUAAGUUUAAUUUUGCAAUACUUCUUGUAUGUAAUUCUCCUUGAUUGCCUCUGAUCUAUCAACUUCUUAUACUUAAGCAAUGGUGAGCUUGAUUACAGAUUCAAGAAGCACAUAUACCUAGGCAUAUAAAUGUGCAAUGGAAUAUAUUGAAGUUCAAGUCAAGUUUGUUUAGAGAGGAUGCAAUGGGUGAAGUUGAACUGGUUUGAUAGCUUCCAACUAUAAUGGAUAUUGUCUGUCAUUUUUUCUUUUUUCCCAGGAUUUCUUUUUUGAUUCCCUGGAGGAUUUCUGAUUCUCACCUGAGACAAAGUUGAUUGCACAUUUUCUUUUCCUUUAAUUUUUGGCUGAUUUAUUCUGGGUUGCUCAAUUUUGAAUUGGCUAUUAUUGCAGACUGGGUGAAAGGGGGUAUGUGUGCAGUUCUUGAAAGUCUACAGUAUUUCUUGCAUAAAAAUUAUUAUAGGUAAUGCUGAAUUAUUUUGGAUCCAUUAGUGGUGUGAACUUCUAUUGUUCGUGAGCCAAAGUUGAAAUAUUGAACUGAGUCUCUCAUGAGUUGUGUUGCAAGGUUACCUAUUAGAUUGAGAAAAUAUUGUUUUUCUUUUAAAUCCAAUCCUUGUUUCCAUGAAUAAGUUGAUUUUUCACAUCAGUAGUUGUUUUUGAUUCUUAACUCCAGCUUCCUGCUUAACUCCUGUAGAGGAUAUGAUUUGUUAUUUUUUUCUAUAGCUAGUUUGUGGUUCUGAUUCUCUAGCUAGUUUGUUAUUUUUUUCUAUAGCUAGGAAGAUCAUAGUAUUCUCAUUUGUGCUCUAAAUCUUGUCUGGUUUAUUUUAGAUUGUACAAUAUUGUAGUGGUUUUUAUUGCAGGCAUGGGGCAAGGGGGUCUCUGUGCAAUUCAUGCAAAUCUACAGAAGAAGCAGGGAAGUUGGUCAGUCAUACCUGACCUCUGUUGGGACAACUUUAUUAGCUAUGUCUCAUGCAUUAUGGCUAAUGAUUAGAAUUAGAUCUCAAGUGGUAUAAUUACUAUUAUGAAUUUUAUAUUUCUCUCCUAGCCAUCACUGUUACUUGAGAAAGUGUAAAUUAAUUUAUAUUGACUGUGUUUGUCUAAAAUGUCUUGGGUUCUUUGCAAUGGCCCUGGGACUUGUGUUCCUCUGUGUAUAAUUGCAUUCCUGUUCAAGGUAAGAUGUCUUUCCUCUCAGCGCUUAGUCUCUGCAUUUUGUAUCUCUGAGAUAAUAUUGGAGUUAAUCACAUAACCUUGUCAACUUUACCUGCAGGUGAAGGGAUUAUUGGUUAUCUGUUUUUUAUGCCGAGAAUAGCAAGGUUGAAAAAGCUCUCUUUAAGUGGUUUGCUUCUUUUCAAGUUGUAUAUGGCUGACUAGUUCUUUGUGCAAUGGCGCCACAACUACAGAGAAAACAUCCUCGAGCUCACUAUGCUGGCCGUCUCGUGUGGUUGAUUUAUUCUACUACUGGCAUGGCAACAAAGAAAGGGGGGCAAUGCUGUUUAUAAUUGCGAUGUAAUUUCAAAGGAGCUGGCACGCAAUAAAAAUCAUGCUGUGCAGUAACAGUAGUCUUCUCUUCAUGCCAAACUGUACCUCAUGAAAGUCUUCUUUCUUUUAUGAGUUUUGAUUGAAGCUUUUAAAAGUCUUCCUCCUUGCACUCAAGCUCUCAGUGUUUGGUUUCUUGCCAAACCUACUUGUGGCUUCAAAAUCAUUAUGCGAGAUGAUUUUUGUUUUUAGAUAGUUUGGGGAAUGGAAGCUGAACUUCCUGUUUGCUCUCACGAAAAGGAUAUGACAGUCAUCGUUGUGUUUUAGGCACUAGAAACUUGGGGUUGGUCGGGUUCCCUAUCUUGGCUGGAAAAACAUACAGGUUGCUUAUUCAUAGGAUCGGUUCCAAUAUUAGCGUGUAAAAACAAGAAAAGCUGUCUUCUCUGAUUGCCCCCCCUGUUGUGGUGUUUUGUUGGAGUUGAGUAGUUUUUAUACGUUCAGUUGA
Populus trichocarpa (black cottonwood) is the source of this 4912-nucleotide RNA transcript. RefSeq lists it as uncharacterized. Lineage: Eukaryota; Viridiplantae; Streptophyta; Magnoliopsida; Malpighiales; Salicaceae. The record is from RefSeq and is a predicted model, not a curated record. The transcript is spliced from 2 exons.